Long non-coding RNA from Lagenorhynchus albirostris (white-beaked dolphin), 1738 nucleotides. RefSeq lists it as uncharacterized. The record is from RefSeq and is a predicted model, not a curated record. The transcript is spliced from 4 exons. NCBI's taxonomy places the organism in Eukaryota, Metazoa, Chordata, Mammalia, Artiodactyla, Delphinidae.
UCUCCGUGCCCCGCUUGUGGAACUGAUCCCAAAGUUCUUUGGCCUCGAGGUGCACCUUGGGGUCAUCCUCCACUUCUUCUUCCGGCUCCAUGGUCUUCAGAGGCCUCAGAUGUGUCUGCGGCCCCAGGGACGAGAAAGGGAUGCCGGUCUCGGCCGCCCCCACCAAUUGAUCCAUGAUCGGCUUGGCCAGGGCGCCGGGCAGCGAGAGCGCCGCCGCGCCGUUGGGCGGCAGAGUCAGCGCGGGGAAGAAGGGCGGCUGGUGACCCAGCACCGCGCUCAUGGCGAAGUCCGGCGCCCGGUGAGGAGGCGUCUGCAGUUGCGCUAGACCGGCUUGAACUGCGAGCGAGAGAGCGGAAAAAGUCUCCCUCCUUUAAAAAAAAAAAACAACAACUCUGAUUGAAGCCCUCUUCUACCAGCGCUAUCAAAACUUGAACUGCAAACGGGCUUCCGUUCGCCCUCCUCCUCCUUCCUCCGCUCCGAGCCUGGUGUCUGGGUUUCAAUCCGAAUCUUGGUGUGCUCUUCUCCCGCGCCUCUCUUCCUUGUCCUAAAACUAGAAGGAACCCAGAAAAUGGCGAGCAGUGGAUAGAAAGCAACGUUACAAGGCUCUGAGCUGGAGGUUCGCUCUCGCUUUGCUGAUGCUGCAGUGAUUGUUAGAAGGGUGAUCGAGACAGGCUGCUUCUGACGCAUUUCUGGGAAGACAGAAGAAAGGAAGAAACAGGAAGGUCAUGGAGGAGUGGCAGAAGAACACCAAAGAGUAAACUUUACCCUAUGAAUCAUUAGCUCAGUCUUCUAAGACUGGGGAAACUGAGGCCCAGAGAGGAAAAGUAAUUGUCCAAGGUCACAAAGAAAAAAAAAAUCCUAAUGGCUAGAUGUCCUAGCUCAUCAGCACCUAGUCUUGUCUUGGCAUCGUAUGGCAAGUCACUUUGGGUCUCUGGGCCUCAGUUUCCUCAUCUAUAAAAUGGAGCCAAGCAGAUCAGUUGCCCACAAUGGAUGAAAAGGAAAGACAGAAUCACUCAGGAGAGAGAAUUUAUUCUAAUGCUUGGCACAGAAUUUGUACCCAAUAAAUAUUAGAUUUCUUCACUCUUCCUCAGCCAACCUUCUCCUUGGCACCAUUUGGUCAGAGUAAGGGUCAUAUGUCUGUUGGUUUUCAUGGUCUGGGCUAGCGGUCUCCAAAUUUUUUUUUUUUCUUUUUAAUUUGGCCAUGCUGCUCAGCUUGUGGGCUCUUAGUUCCCCGACCAGGGAUAGAACCCACGCCCCCUGCAGUGGAAGAGAAGAGUCCUAAACACUGGACCACCAGGGAAUUCCCUCCAAACUUUUUUUUACUGAAACAUUUCCAACGUAAAAGAGUACAGCAACUGGUAGAAGGAAUUCCCGUAUACCCACCACCACUUCAAUAAUUAUCAACUCAUGGCCCAUCUUGUUUCAUUUACGUACCCUCACUGGAUUGUUUUAAUGCAAACGCAGACACCAUAUCAUUUCAUUUGUAAAUACUUCGGUGUGUAUCUCCAAAAAAUAAGAAUAAAAAUUUUAAAAAACAACUACAAGACUGUUAUCACACACACACACCCCAAAAGCAAUGACUGGGUAAUCUUAUGAAAUACCCAGUUCGUACUCAGUAGUUCCCAGUUGUCUCCAUUCUUCUUCUUUUAUCACAGUUGGUUCGUUCCAGUUAGGUUGCAGGCAAUGUGUCUACAUUGUUUUUGAUUAUAUGUCUCUUACAUCCACUUCCCAUUUCUUU